CUCUCUCAAACGAUUUGAAGGUUAGAGAACCCUUGUUAUGCAUUCACUUGCCUCCAUGGCUAAGUGGCUUAACCCCAACCAUGUUGUGGGCACCCUCUUACGGAGGAGUGACUUUGACAUAGUCAAAGAUCAAGGACUUAACCAUAAGACAACUAUGAUGCCUCAGGUCAAAUGACUACUUUACAUUAUCUCAACCAUGAGUUCUCAUGUGACAUGAGUAUGAGAACUCUUUGUUGAUCGCGUUCAGUUGACUCAUUCUCUAUUGAGCACCUACGUACUUGUCUUGGUGUUAGUCACACCAAUGACUCGAGACCAGUCACUCUCCUUACACCAAUAACUCGAGACUAGUCACUCUCCAUGGGAGAAGACAUAUCACGUACUGAUCUUAACGGAUUGUCAAUGCCCAAUUGGCAAUCCUAUGAUCAGGAACGUUUAGGAUAUGUUUACGAAAGGGAAUGGUUUCAUGAAUCUAACUUCUUUAGAUCACAUUCUCCCAAUUACAUAUUCCUUGAACUUAUCGUUUAAGCAUAUAACAUUUAUAUGAGACGGCUUUAAACAAUAAUAUUUGCUCUUUAUAUUAAACUAGAUUAAUUUCGCAUGUGAAAUGUUCGUAAAGUAUCAUCAUAUGAUUGGCUUUAGGGCACAUUUUCAACAAAUAAUAGUUCUUAAAAAAAAUUACUAAAUUUCACUUAAAUAUUUGUACGAAGAAAAAUACUAGACCACGGUCGAAAAUUUCCUGGUUGCUUUAUUACUUACGUUUCAUAAACAAAUUUGGGCCGUUCAAACCCUUAAGGAUGCAAACUGCUCGCAAAAGGUUAAUGUUUUUAUUUUUUAACAAAUAUGUGGAAACUGAAUAUUCCCAACGUCAAACUGUUUAGCUGGUUAAUGAUCCUGAUUAGGUUACAAACCCGGGUUAGGUUAACUUACAUAAACAUAUUAGCUCAAUUUGUCCUAACUGCCGUCCUUUCUGUAAUAUAGAGUGAGGAUCAAGAUCAUCUGUUUAUCAAGUGUAAUUUUGCAAGACAGGUUUGGGUUACAACCCCUGGUAUCACCUGUUAAUGACAAUAAUCCUAUUGCUCUGUUAGAUUGGUUGAGUAAGCUUGAUGCACCGGUUUAGAGAUUUUUUAUGCCUGGGGCGACGCCAAAAAAUAUGCCCUCAUUUUAUAUAAGAAAUUAUUUGUUUUCACACAUAAAACAUCGAUAAAAUUAUGCUUAGAAAAGCAAGUUAAUAAUUUAGAAACACGGAAAAACUAAUUUAUUUUGUUUCGUGAGAAGGAAACAAAAAAAAAACUCUGGGUUUACAAGUAGAAAGAUAUGAGUUUUGUUUUCCAUCUGAACUUUUAAAAUGUUUUUGUAUAAAUCGUGAGGUGUUUUUUCUUAUUUACUAACCUUGUCAAUAUGGGACUAAAAAAAUAAUGAUGUUUUUGAGUCUUUAAUUGAUAUGUAUAAGUAAUAAAUGGGUACUAAAUUAAACUUUUUUAUGACACGUUAUAUGAUUUGCAAAUUUGGUCUAAAAAUUUGGUCAACACAUUAUUCUUUGUUGAAGAUUAGACUUGAAUUGGAACAAAUGUUUAAAAAUAACAACCCACAUAGCUACUAGCUACUAAUUAAAAAUAAAUUAACAACCAAACAAAAUUCGUAAAAAUUGAAAAAAAUAAACAUGCACUUAGCACAACAAAAAACCAUUGAUUCUAAUAAUUCUUGAUCAUUUAGGUAAAUUUUAUAUAUAUUUAUACUAUUUUGAAAAGAAACUUGUAAAAAUUGAAAAAAUAAAACACACAUGGUGUUUUGAACCCAAGACCUCCUCAUUAAUUUCAAACAACAAAACCACAAAUUCUAGUUAAAUUUCUUUGUCAUUGAACCAAAUUUUA
RNAcentral lists this long non-coding RNA (1871 nucleotides) under Malus domestica (apple). Its description in RNAcentral is "long non-coding RNA (MDOM_LNC011233)". Lineage: Eukaryota; Viridiplantae; Streptophyta; Magnoliopsida; Rosales; Rosaceae. The record is from RNAcentral.